RNAcentral lists this transfer RNA (60 nucleotides) under Alectorobius cerradoensis. Its description in RNAcentral is "tRNA-Val". Lineage: Eukaryota; Metazoa; Arthropoda; Arachnida; Ixodida; Argasidae. The record is from RNAcentral.
UGGGGUGAGAUCUAAAGAUAUUUCUUUUACAAGGAAAAAUAGCUUAAUUAGCCACCUUAU